GGUGGAGCGAUUUGUCUGGUUAAUUCCGAUAACGAACGAGACUCUAGCCUGCUAAAUAGUUCGCCGAUUGUCUAAUCUGUCGGCGUUAACUUCUUAGAGGGAUUAGUGGUGUUUAGCCACACUAGAUUGAGCGAUAACAGGUCUGUGAUGCCCUUAGAUGUCCGGGGCUGCACGCGUGCUACACUGGAAAAAUCAGCGUGUUUUUCCAUUGCCGAAAGGUAUUGGUAAACCGUUGAAACUCUUUCGUGUCCGGGAUAGGGAAUUGAAAUUAUUUCCCUUAAACGAGGAAUUCCUAGUAAGUGUGAGUCAUUAGCUCACGUUGAAUACGUCCCUGCCCUUUGUAC
RNAcentral lists this ribosomal RNA (344 nucleotides) under Nematoda environmental sample. Its description in RNAcentral is "bacterial SSU rRNA". It matches the Rfam family "Eukaryotic small subunit ribosomal RNA", at positions 1300 to 1665 of the family's 1831-position model. The record is from RNAcentral. Lineage: Eukaryota; Metazoa; Nematoda.